This 1022-nucleotide long non-coding RNA is filed under the name Zostera marina. RNAcentral's name for it is "long non-coding RNA (ZMAR_LNC003593)". The record is from RNAcentral. Lineage: Eukaryota; Viridiplantae; Streptophyta; Magnoliopsida; Alismatales; Zosteraceae.
CUUUGAGUUUCCUUUUCCAAGUGGAAUGAAGAUCGAGUGUGAGUUUAAUACCAACACCUGUGAAUUUGGAAUAAACUAUAUCAAAUUAGCCAAUAAUUAAAUUAAUUGUUUCAAGUUCCACAUUAAUAUGAGGUGGGGUGAGUUCAGAGAAGGAGAGGGAUUUGGUUAUUUCAGAUCAACUACAAUAUUACAAUAUUAGUUUAAUACUGUAUUUUUGUUUAGUUUAUUACAAUAUUAGAUCAACUACAAUACUACAAUAUUACAAUAUUAGUUUAGUUAUUCACAAUAUUACAAUUUAUUAGUUUAUUAUUGUAAUUUUUACUAGAUUAAUACUGAAUACGUACUGAUCAUAAAAAUAUAUUGAUCCACAGACCAAAAAAAUUCAGAUUUAUUCCAUGAGAACCACAAUUAAGAGAGAAAACUGGCAUGUCCAGAGAAAAUAUAGUUAUCUUAACAAAAACAAAGAACAUAUCUCGAUACUCAGCAUGUGUAGAUAUUCCCUAUAAAAAUAUAGGAGUAAAUGAAACUACUGGAUUUUGAAUAAAUACUCAUCAUCAAUCCUAAUAUUCAUUCAUACUGGUGUCUAUUUCACGCAAAAUGGUUUCUUUUUCAGAAAUGAAGUAUUUCACCCAAAAGUAAAUGAAGCUAUCACAUGUUCUUAGAAAUGAUACCAUCAUGCUUCACAAGUUUACAUAUAUAAUAAUCAUUGAAAAUUGCAAUUUUAAGAAUAUAAAUAACGGAAUGGAAUGGACUAGAGGUGAUGAACUUACCUGGAAGAUGCUUGACGGCGGACAGGAGUGAACAAGAAGUUGUUCGUCGGAAGAAUGGAGUGAUCGUCGGCGAACUGGAGGGAUCGUCGGCGGACUGGAGGGAUCGUCGCCGGACUUGAGGGAUCGUCGCCGGACAGGAAGAAUCGCCUAAAGGAUUUGGAGAGUUUUAACUUCAAGAACGAUUUGGGGAAAUCGAUUUGGGGUUUUGGGUGUUUGAUUUGGGGAAAGUCGAUUUGGGGAAAUCGAUUUGGG